GCUUCCAGCAAGAAGUAUUAACUUGCUGAGAACUGUAGCUCGAGGUUGAAACUCAAACAAAACAAAAAGCAAAAACUUCCAACAAACAACUAAGAAACAUCAUCGAAGAUAGUUCACUUAAUUUGAAGAAGAUUCAUCGUAAGAAAGAUAUUACAAUCGGCAUAAUCAAUACUGCUAUCAAUGAAACUUAAGACAUUCAAUCAUCACACAGAAGUUUCUAGACGUGAGCUAUUCGAAACCAAAGGAUAUUUAUAAAACGAUUUCAUAACUUUUCUUCGGAUCUGCGGACAUAAAUUGCUACGUAAUUUUUAACGAUAACAAUGAACAAGUC
Nicrophorus vespilloides is the source of this 331-nucleotide long non-coding RNA. RefSeq lists it as uncharacterized. The transcript is spliced from 3 exons. Lineage: Eukaryota; Metazoa; Arthropoda; Insecta; Coleoptera; Silphidae. The record is from RefSeq and is a predicted model, not a curated record.